RNAcentral lists this long non-coding RNA (233 nucleotides) under Gossypium raimondii (Peruvian cotton). RNAcentral's name for it is "long non-coding RNA (GRAI_LNC008567)". The record is from RNAcentral. Lineage: Eukaryota; Viridiplantae; Streptophyta; Magnoliopsida; Malvales; Malvaceae.
GUACAUUGAAGGAUACCUACAAGCUAUGUUAGACUCAAUGUACAGGCAAGAAUAUCUUCGAGUGAGAGUAAUUGAUGACCAGGAAACUGAUUAAGUGAGAAAAUAGAAAUAUCAGUACUGCAACAAAAUUUAUUUAUUUAUUUGAGAUUUAGAUGGCAGCAAAAGGGGACAUAUAAUUGCUGAGGCAUGUUUCAUAAUUAUAUUAUCACUUCUAACAAAGUGUUCAUCCAAGU